This 408-nucleotide long non-coding RNA is filed under the name Jatropha curcas. RNAcentral's name for it is "long non-coding RNA (JCUR_LNC002021)". The record is from RNAcentral. Lineage: Eukaryota; Viridiplantae; Streptophyta; Magnoliopsida; Malpighiales; Euphorbiaceae.
UCAAAUUGAAGCCCUAUAACUCAAUUUAUGUCUUACACACUCAGCAAAGGUCAAAGUUUAUUUAAUGCUGAAUAUCUUCUAUGUCUUGAAUCAUAGGUUUGAGAAAUGAAAACGAUGGAAUUAGGAAAAGGUAUAAGAUUUAUUUGUUGCUUUAUGUUUUAGCUAUCCAUAAGCUUUGAAAUCCUCUAAAUUGGACUUAUAAACUAAAAGAUAUGACCAAAAUGGUAUAAACUGUGCAGGCUGGAAACCAAAAGCUAGGCAGACUAGAAGUUGUUACUUUAGCUCAAUAUUUGACUACCUUAACAACGUAAUUCAGAUAUGUGAUAGAAGACAAAUUGGUACCCUAAUGUUUUAGCUAACCAUAGAAAGUAGAAUCACCUAAAUUGGAUUUAUAAAUUGAGAGAUAUG